Oncorhynchus nerka (sockeye salmon) is the source of this 408-nucleotide long non-coding RNA. RefSeq lists it as uncharacterized. The record is from RefSeq and is a predicted model, not a curated record. NCBI's taxonomy places the organism in Eukaryota, Metazoa, Chordata, Actinopteri, Salmoniformes, Salmonidae. The transcript is spliced from 2 exons.
AUGGGAAAAUGUCCGAUUAUACAACAUUGAAUUAUAUCACUUAAUUGCAGUGUGUGGACUAGGCCUACUAGACUGUAUAGUCCGAUUAUUGUAACUUUGGGAGAUUUGAUGAGCACAAUCAAAUACUAAUUUAUUUAUUAAUCAAAUCUAAUUGUAACUAAAGAUGAGAAAAAUCAUGAGACCUAAUUUGAAAAUCUGUAAACUGAACACUUUUUUUUGUUGGAUAAUUGUCAUAGUAGACGUAUGGAAGUCAAGCAAGCAGGAAGGCAGUAAACUGUUACAGGUCUACGACAACACAACGAGUUACCAACCCUGCCCUGCCCGCAUCCGACGAAGCCAAAUUUUCCUGGAGUUCACGCAGUUUCUCAUCGGAGCGAGCGGCCAAAACAAGCACCGACCUCGGUUUAA